RNAcentral lists this ribosomal RNA (212 nucleotides) under uncultured bacterium. RNAcentral's name for it is "partial 16S ribosomal RNA". It matches the Rfam family "Bacterial small subunit ribosomal RNA", at positions 1281 to 1500 of the family's 1533-position model. The record is from RNAcentral.
GCCUGUCCCAGUUCGGACUGGAGUCUGCAACCCGACUCCACGAAGUUGGAUUCGCUAGUAAUCGCGCAUCAGCCAUGGCGCGGUGAAUACGUUCCCGGGCCUUGUACACACCGCCCGUCAAGCCAUGGGAGCCGGGGGCGCCUGAAGUCCGGGACCGCGAGGACCGGCCUAGGGCGAAACUGGUAACUGGGGCUAAGUCGUAACAAGGUAAC